CACCUGAUAGCACAUGGUGUGCACCUGCCCUACUUGAUGAUUUUAUCCCCCAAGAUGUAGGCAGGAGGUCCCCGUUCAACUCGGGGUCGGGUGA
This is a non-coding RNA of Mycena metata, 94 nucleotides long. NCBI's taxonomy places the organism in Eukaryota, Fungi, Basidiomycota, Agaricomycetes, Agaricales, Mycenaceae. The record is from the annotation of a GenBank genome assembly.